CCCUUAGAUGUUCUGGGAUGCACGCGCGUUACACUGAUUCGUUCAACGAGUUUAUGACCUUGCCUGAUGAGGUGGGGGAAUCUUUUCAAAUCGCAUCGUGAUGGGGAUAGAGUAUUGCAACUGUUAGUCUUCAACGAGGAAUUCCUAGUAAGUACGUGUCAUCGGCUCGUACUGAUUAUGUCCCUGCCCUUUGUACACACCGCCCGUCGCUCCUACCGAUUGAGUGCUCAGGUGAAUAGUAUGGACUGCAUCAGUGUUCGGUCUCCGAAUGUCGACGCGAGAAAUUCUGUGAAUCUUAUUGCUUAGAGGAAGGAGAAGUCGUAACA
This 326-nucleotide ribosomal RNA is filed under the name uncultured eukaryote. Its description in RNAcentral is "partial 18S ribosomal RNA". It matches the Rfam family "Eukaryotic small subunit ribosomal RNA", at positions 1470 to 1796 of the family's 1831-position model. The record is from RNAcentral.